Molecule: ribosomal RNA, 253 nt
Filed under: uncultured bacterium
Lineage: Bacteria
Description: partial 16S ribosomal RNA
Rfam family: Bacterial small subunit ribosomal RNA
Source: RNAcentral
UACGUAGGGGGCAAGCGUUGUCCGGAUUUAUUGGGCGUAAAGAGCGUGUAGGCGGCCAGGUAGGUCAGCUGUGAAAACUCGAGGCUCAACCUCGAGAUGUCGGCUGAAACCAUCUGGCUAGAGUCCGGAAGAGGAGAAUGGAAUUCCCGGUGUAGCGGUGAAAUGCGCAGAUAUCAGGAGGAACACCGGUGGCGAAGGCGCCACUCUGGGCCGAAACUGACGCUGAGGAGCGAAAGCGUGGGUAGCAAACAGG